UACGUAGGGUGCAAGCGUUGCCCGGAUUUAUUGGGCGUAAAGGGCGCGUAGGCGGUGAGACACGUCUGUUGUGAAAUCGCCCGGCUCAACUGGGCGGGGUCAGCGGAUACGGUCUCACUUGAGCAAGCUAGGGGGCAAUGGAAUUCCCGGUGUAGUGGUGGAAUGCGUAGAUAUCGGGAGGAACACCAGUGGCGAAGGCGGUUGCCUGGGGCUUUGCUGACGCUGAUGCGCGAAAGCGUGGGGAGCGAUC
This 250-nucleotide ribosomal RNA is filed under the name uncultured bacterium. RNAcentral describes it as "partial 16S ribosomal RNA". It matches the Rfam family "Bacterial small subunit ribosomal RNA", at positions 524 to 773 of the family's 1533-position model. The record is from RNAcentral.